RNAcentral lists this ribosomal RNA (430 nucleotides) under uncultured Alphaproteobacteria bacterium. RNAcentral describes it as "bacterial SSU rRNA". It matches the Rfam family "Bacterial small subunit ribosomal RNA", at positions 958 to 1385 of the family's 1533-position model. The record is from RNAcentral. Lineage: Bacteria; Pseudomonadati; Pseudomonadota; Alphaproteobacteria.
AACGCGAAGAACCUUACCAGCCCUUGACAUCCCGGUCGCGGGAACGAGAGAUCGAUCCCUUCAGUUCGGCUGGACCGGAGACAGGUGCUGCAUGGCUGUCGUCAGCUCGUGUCGUGAGAUGUUGGGUUAAGUCCCGCAACGAGCGCAACCCUCGCCCUUAGUUGCCAUCAUUAAGUUGGGCUCUCUAAGGGGACUGCCGGUGAUAAGCCGCGAGGAAGGUGGGGAUGACGUCAAGUCCUCAUGGCCCUUACGGGCUGGGCUACACACGUGCUACAAUGGCGGUGACAAUGGGACGCAAUGGGGCAACCCUGCGCAAAUCUCAAAAAGCCGUCUCAGUUCGGAUUGUGCUCUGCAACUCGAGCACAUGAAGUUGGAAUCGCUAGUAAUCGCAGAUCAGCACGCUGCGGUGAAUACGUUCCCGGGCCUUGUA